AAUUAAAGGAAAGGUGUUCCAGAACCACACCAGAACCGCUCUGGUUCUGAACAGCUUCCUGGUUCUGAAGAGCUUCCUGGUUCUGCUGCUGAUCCGGUUCAGAACCGAUUCUCCAGUAGAGGCUCAACAGAACCUUUAGAACCGGUUUUAUCUCGGAGUGGUUGGACUCUGUCAGAGGUUGAAGACAGGUUUGCUCUGUGUUUUUACUGUGACCUCUGACCUCUGGCCUUGGAGUGCAGCUGCCGGCCAGAUCGGGUUUCGGCCGGAAUGGAACUGGAUUGUUCCAAGGAACGUCUCGGUAAUCCGACCCGAUCAGUGCCACAACAACCGGCGAGCAAAGCAAGCCGUCCACCGCCCGCCACGCGACCUGUCGUCUGUCAGAGGUCAGAGGUCAAACUCCUGGCCUUAGAGCAGGAACUGGUUCAGGAAAACUGGUGAAUCCAGAAACGGGAACACUGUGAGGAUGAGCAGCUUUCCUUCUUCAUUGUGGAGGAAGUCGGAGCCAGGAACUUACAGGAAGAAAACAAUUUUUAUGCCCAUGAAAAUCAGUUUGAUAAGCAAUAAAGGUGAAUUAAUCAGUUUGGUUGUUGUUCCGAUCAUCGGUUCAUCCCAUUAAAGCCCAGACUUCCUGUUUGGAAGCCCAGACUUCCUGUUUGGAAGCCCAGACUUCCUGUUUGGAAGCCCAGACUUCCUCCAGGAGUCUGCAGAUCACGUCUCCACCCCUGGACUGUCUCUGCCUUUGGGAACCUUCAGCAGAACCUCAGGAGUCCCUGGGUCAUGUGACCUACCUUCACCUGCACAGGGGGAUGGAGCAAAGAGCAGGAGGCGCACGCAGCUCAGCAUCAGCAGGACGCCUGCACCUCGGAUCGCCGACAUGUUGGCUGCAGCAACAAGCCGUCCUACAGGAGGAGGACAUGGUGAGACGGAGACCAGUGACCCUGAGCUCUGGAGAUUUUUCCGGACAUGUCUGCAAGUUUGAGGUGUCGGUGCAAUUCUUGUGAAGUUGAGCCGCCACUGAGAGUGAAACUUAAGCUGCCAGCGAGGGACAAUCCUGCAGGACGCUGUGAGCUGGACUUCAGACGGACCGAGGGAUGUGUCUUGGGUUCCAGUCCUGCAUCCUGUGGUGCUUCACGUCAAACUUUUCCAAAUGUCAUAAUCUUUCUUCUCCUUCCCCCAACAAGAGAUAGAGGACAGGGCUGUCCAGCAACUCUACCCUCUUCCUCUGUCUCAACCUUUGGUCCAGCAGGAAGUGGAUGUUUCCCCAGACCAGGACUCCUCCUGUCUUCAAAGGACAUUGUCCUGAAGCUGCUAGUCUUGAUGCCGUGGUGACGGAGGUCUGGAUCCCUGUGCCCACACGGUCGACUGUCAGGCAGGAAAACAAGGAGCGGAUCACUUUCCAAAGAUUCCAGGGAAGAGCACGGCCUCUGCAGAGACAGGAAGGGACAUGCCUGGAUUACCGACAGCAUUCGUGUGGCUUGCAUACCACAGCGCACGCGCACACGCACACACACACACACACACACACAAACA
Long non-coding RNA from Poeciliopsis prolifica (blackstripe livebearer), 1530 nucleotides. RefSeq lists it as uncharacterized. NCBI's taxonomy places the organism in Eukaryota, Metazoa, Chordata, Actinopteri, Cyprinodontiformes, Poeciliidae. The record is from RefSeq and is a predicted model, not a curated record. The transcript is spliced from 4 exons.